AUGAAUUGAACUGGGAUGAUCAAGAUCUUCUCAUAUAUAGUCAGAUGUUUUCUUGGAAGCAUGGAUCAUCAAGAACCUCACUUCUAUGAUUUGUGUUUGCUUCCAAAUUAGCAGUUUUGAAGGUGGAGAGGAGUGAGAAAUGAAGGAAAAGCAACACAUUUAAAUACUCAAUCAUAUCCAAAACGUGUAAGCUUUUCAUUCAUUCUUUUCAGUUUCCAGUCCCCUUUUUCUUAUUUCUCAAAUUCACUUUUUUUAAGGUGAGGUUAAGAAAAGCACGUGCUCAUACGAGUAUAGCUUUCCGGCUAUUGAUUAUGCAUGGGAUGGGUGUAUUUACAAUUAAAAAAACUUUCACUCAUCUCCAUGCAUAAUCAACAGCUCAAAAGCUAGUGCUCGCUUAUAUGAGCACGGGCUUUCCUUAGCCUCUCCCUUUUAUUUGGGCUUCUUUUGAAGUGGGUUAGCUUCAGCCACAGGCUUUAUCUGCACUAGAUCAUAGUUUUCUUGCAGGGUGAAAAGCAACCAAAACCUUUUCAGCAUUUUGGAAGUCUUUGAGAAAGUGUACUCGCAGAAAGGAUAAAAGGUUGAUGUGGGAGAUGGAGCUUGCUUUCACUUCAGCAUCAAAGCAUGUGGGUGGGGUAAUAGAAGCUAAUUAUUUUAUAAUUAUGAUUUUUAACUUUUUCAGUUUUUUGUAGGUACAUGAUUAGACAAGGAAUCUAGAGGGACAGAUGAGGGAAAAUUUGAGGAAUCUCAAGGUUGAUGUUGCAGAUCAGGUCCAACACUUGGUCCCCUUUAUACUUAAUUUGAGUACUAAAGCUCAUGGCAUAUUGAAGAAUCAUUAAUCAAAUUAUGACAGAUCAUCCUCAGAGUACAUGCAGGUGACAUUAGUGAGCUGAAUUUACCUGGUUUUAGCAUAAUCAACUGUUUGAUUUUUCGAACUUCAUCCAGCUUAAGAAUGAUAUAGAUUUAACAUG
RNAcentral lists this long non-coding RNA (968 nucleotides) under Manihot esculenta (cassava). RNAcentral's name for it is "long non-coding RNA (MESC_LNC007635)". Lineage: Eukaryota; Viridiplantae; Streptophyta; Magnoliopsida; Malpighiales; Euphorbiaceae. The record is from RNAcentral.